GGGCCCAUGGUCCAGUGGUAAGACGCUACAUUCGCAUUGUAGAAACGGCGGUUCGAAUCUGCCUGGGUCCACAA
This 74-nucleotide transfer RNA is filed under the name Candidatus Staskawiczbacteria bacterium RIFCSPLOWO2_01_FULL_33_9. RNAcentral describes it as "tRNA-Ala". It matches the Rfam family "tRNA". Rfam says of the family: Transfer RNA (tRNA) molecules are approximately 80 nucleotides in length. Their secondary structure includes four short double-helical elements and three loops (D, anti-codon, and T loops). Lineage: Bacteria; Candidatus Staskawicziibacteriota. The record is from RNAcentral.